AAGACCACCAUUGUCCAUCUCCACACCUCUUAUGAUGGAAUCCCCAACAACAACUGCUUUCUAUUAGGCCUCACCACAGUCUCCAAGCCUGUCUCCACAACACCACACUCCCGCGCCAGUUUUGUCGCGAAAGGCCCAGCCUCCAUAUCUGAGAUCAUCAAUCUCUUUGGUGUGCAUUCAACGUCUCCAUGCAGAACGUGGAAACACUGAACCUAGCUGCUG
This is a non-coding RNA of Pelobates cultripes (western spadefoot toad), 222 nucleotides long. The record is from the annotation of a GenBank genome assembly. NCBI's taxonomy places the organism in Eukaryota, Metazoa, Chordata, Amphibia, Anura, Pelobatidae.